AAACCUGAUUAUUUCUCACCAGGAUUUUUCUUUUUUCUUUUUUCUUUUUGCAGAAGCCAGGUUUAAUACCUGGCCUUGCUCACUGGAUUUUUCUAAAUAGUCUACUGACCUUACUCUAUUGCUUAAAUCUUUCAGUAGCUUCCUGAUGUAUUCAAUUCUGUUCUUCAAACUUCAAUGUUUUUCAUCCCAGCCUUCCAGUUCUUGCCAUAUGGAUGUAGUUCCUACGUUGUCAUUCCUUUAACAUGUUUAUAAACUGGCUUUAAAAAGCAAAGAAAUAUACAGUCUAGGCAACUUGAUUUGCCACCCAAAAUGCUAUAAUCAAAAGGGAAGAUUAAUAAGGUUAGAGAGAGGUGCUAAAGACUCGCCAACCCAAUCUGGAAAGGUCUUUACUUGUGAAGGACUGAAAAAGAAUGGAAAAGGAACUAAAUUUCUCAUUGUGUGAUUCAAGAUUAUAUACUGUCUUGUCUGUGUACCAUUUACGACCAUCUCAUGUGCGCCAGUGGGAAGGGAGCCGUUGUCUGAAAAGCACUGCCAGGUCCCUGAAGGUGGUACCCCAGGCACCUGGUGAACUAGUACCUGCAUGACAUUUCAGCAGCAUCACCUGCAACUCUCUGAGAGCACUGUUCCAGCCAUUCUGAAAAAUCUGAGGUUCCAUGAACUUAAUGUCAGGAAUACUAUUUGCUGAAAGUAACAGAAUGUAUGAAUAAGACGGACAAUAAGAGGUGAUUUUCCUUGCACAUGAAGAAGUCUAGAGGUGAGCAGUUGCCGAUGCUGGCUGGUCAAAUGUGACAAGGCUGUAGGCUGGAAUCUCUGGAUGUUCUUGCCCUUACCUUCAGGGUCUUAAGAUGUCUUCCACAGCCCCAGUCAUCACACCAUGGCAUUCAGAAGCAAGACACAGGGCUUCGAAGAGCUGAGCAUUUCUGGUCAAGAGCUGUCCUCUGAUCAGGGAGGAAAGGUCUUUCUCAAGGACCCUCCAAGCACACUUCCUGUUAUAUCUUUAUGCUCAAGAUGGGGUCACAUG
Long non-coding RNA from Bos taurus (domestic cattle), 1021 nucleotides. The record is from Ensembl. NCBI's taxonomy places the organism in Eukaryota, Metazoa, Chordata, Mammalia, Artiodactyla, Bovidae.